CUUUUGAGGUUAUAUGAAAGGUUGAACCUGCCCACUGAGGUAUUAAAGGGCUGCGGUAUCUUGACCGUGCAAAGGUAGCAUAAUCAUUAGUCUUUUAAUUGAAGACUUGUAUGAAUGGUUUGACGAAAAAUAAACUGUUUUAUUAUUAUAAAUUGAAAUUUACCUUUAAGUUAAAAGGCUUAAAUUAAUGUAAGGGACGAGAAGACCCUAUAGAGUUUAAAUAUUAUAAAUUAUUAAAUGAUUUUGGGUUAAAAAUUGUGUAUUUUUUAUUAUAUUUGGUUGGGGUGAUGAGAGGAUAAAAAAAACUCCUUUUAUUUAGUAACGGUGAUGAAUGGAAAAAAAGUAUGAUCUUGUAUUAUGAAUUUUAAGAAAAAAUUACCUUAGGGAUAACAGCGUAAUUUUGUUUGAGAGUUCGAAUUGAUAACAAAGAUUGCGACCUCGAUGUUGGAUUAAGUUUAUAAUUGGGUGCAGAAGCUGAAUUAAUAGGUCUGUUC
RNAcentral lists this ribosomal RNA (494 nucleotides) under Ectatoderus brevipalpis. RNAcentral's name for it is "partial 16S ribosomal RNA". It matches the Rfam family "Archaeal large subunit ribosomal RNA", at positions 1924 to 2651 of the family's 2987-position model. The record is from RNAcentral. Lineage: Eukaryota; Metazoa; Arthropoda; Insecta; Orthoptera; Mogoplistidae.